GACGAACGCUGGCGGCGUGCUUAACACAUGCAAGUCGAGCGAUGAAGUUCCUUCGGGAAUGGAUUAGCGGCGGACGGGUGAGUAACACGUGGGUAACCUGCCUCAUAGAGGGGAAUAGCCUUUCGAAAGGAAGAUUAAUACCGCAUAAGAUUGUAGUAUCGCAUGAUACAGCAAUUAAAGGAGUAAUCCGCUAUGAGAUGGACCCGCGUCGCAUUAGCUAGUUGGUGAGGUAACGGCUCACCAAGGCGACGAUGCGUAGCCGACCUGAGAGGGUGAUCGGCCACAUUGGGACUGAGACACGGCCCAGACUCCUACGGGUGGCAG
This 324-nucleotide ribosomal RNA is filed under the name uncultured Bacillota bacterium. Its description in RNAcentral is "bacterial SSU rRNA". It matches the Rfam family "Bacterial small subunit ribosomal RNA", at positions 28 to 351 of the family's 1533-position model. Lineage: Bacteria; Bacillati; Bacillota. The record is from RNAcentral.